CGGAAGGAUUGCCUAGUUUUGGAAUCAGCUUAUUUUUUUUCCAUGAAGGGUUUUGUUUUGAGUGUUGGAAUGAAAGUUGUACUCGAUAGUUCACCAGCCUAGUGGGCUGAUGCUAAGAAAAUCCUCACCCAGACAUGUUCAUUCAUUGUGCUUGCAUAAAUAUAAUUCAUGGUUGUGGUUAAAAAAAAAAUAAGCUGAUUCCAAAACUAGG
This 211-nucleotide unclassified non-coding RNA is filed under the name Hevea brasiliensis (rubber tree). The record is from RNAcentral. Lineage: Eukaryota; Viridiplantae; Streptophyta; Magnoliopsida; Malpighiales; Euphorbiaceae.